GUAGGUGGCAAGCGUUGUCCGGAAUUAUUGGGCGUAAAGCGCGCGCAGGCGGUUCGUUUAAGUCUGAUGUGAAAGCCCACGGGCUCAACCGUGGAGGGUCAUUGGAAACUGGAGAACUUGAGUACAGAAGAGGAAAGCGGAAUUCCACGUGUAGCGGUGAAAUGCGUAGAGAUGUGGAGGAACACCAGUGGCGAAGGCGGCUUUCUGGUCUGUAACUGACGCUGAGGCGCGAAAGCGUGGGGAGCAAACAGGAUUAGAUACCCUGGUAGUCCACGCCGUAAACGAUGAGUGCUAAGUGUUAGGGGGUUUCCGCCCCCUUAGUGCUGCAGCUAACGCAUUAAGCACUCCGCCUGGGGAGUACGGCCGCAAGGCUG
Molecule: ribosomal RNA, 374 nt
Filed under: uncultured organism
Description: partial 16S ribosomal RNA
Rfam family: Bacterial small subunit ribosomal RNA
Source: RNAcentral